UCUGCACUCGAGCCGCAGGACUGCCGACCCGAGGCGGAGGCAACUCCCUGCCCACCCGUGGAGCUCCAGACACGUUCCCGAGGCCACCAUGACCCUAAGGGCAUCAAAGGAGGAACCAGAUGUCCUUUCUUCUCCUCUGUGCGCCCGUGGGACGGCAGAGCCCGGCAUCAUGCUGUGUGCUCAGGUCCCCUGUGAGAUCCGCGUGUGUGAGGCCUGACUCUCCCAGACAGCUGCCAGCCUGACCUAGGAGGUGAAGGUGCCCUUGGAAACGCCAUCGCCUUAUUGACGUCAGGAUCCUGGGCACAGGGGGCUGGGAGAAAGGAUCGCUGUGUUCCAACGGUGUUCCCGAGGGUCCCUUUUCAGAGUGCAGCAAGUUCCUGGGACGGCACUGAGAGGAGGGAGUUUCCGAGUGCUUCUGGAUGGUCUGACCACGCGGGAAGCAGCCUUGCAGAUAAGUAUUCAGACUUACCAGCCCGCAGCCUGCCAGCCCGCCCCGGCUGGUCUGUGCGGGAAAAUGCAGCGUCCCAGAGCCCCCAGGAGGGAGGUGAAAUUGGUGAUGUAGCUCGUUCACCUUUCUACCUCUAUGCCACAAAUAAAGAGCUGGUCCCCACUUUACGGGCCCCCACAAUGGGUAAUUUUCACACCCCACUGUUGGCAUCGAGGCUAGUGUUUUACAAACUCCACCAUCAGGAACUUCUGAGGGGCUGAGUUUAAUGACUUCAUCUCGAGUACGGUAGAGCUGGUGUCAAGUCAGAAGGCGGUGGGGACUCCUGGUGGUUGGGGCUGGCCCUUCUCUCCCCAGUCCUGGCCCUUGGUUAUCAGAGUUAUAAACCUCGGUCAGGGUUCCUUUGCUUAGCAGUCAAGUGGGGACCUCAGCACGGUGCCUGUCGGGCACAUUCUUCUCAGUGCAAGGGGCUAAGUGCCCUUGUCCCAGGUCCUGGACCCAUGUCCCAAUCCUGGGUGCUGACAGCAAGCUCUGAAAAUAUGCUUGGAGGGCCACCGACUCUCCUGGCCCAGCUCUGCCAGUCCAUGCAGCUAGCUUAGCUGUCACCAAAAGUAAAACUUGGGAGAUGGUUAGGUCAGAAUUAAUGGGCAUUUGAGGGUGGGGGAGCAGAAAAAUAACUGGCUGAGCACAAGGGGGCCUGCUCUUUCCCACCUACUGCCUCAAACUCUGGGCUACUAUUGUGCACCCUGGGUGACUGUCAGGGCCCGGAGGGUCCCACAGCCCAGAGGGAGGAACAGAUUUUCCAGGGCUACACAGCAUAGCAGGUUUGGGAUCAGAAUUCCCGAUUCCUGACUCUGUUCAGUUUUUCCUGGGUCCUGUUCUGCCAUUAUGGGGACCAGGGAGGUGGGUGAAGGACAUUUUGGGGUGGGACGGAGGGAAGUGGAGGGUGGUCUGCCUGGGCCCAGCCUCUGUGGCUCUCGAACCUUCUUCUUGUUAGCGGAAUGUCCUGCCCAGGCCCGGGGCCUGGUUGCGGUUUUCUCCUGCAGUGUGGUUGGCUCUUUUGUCUUCCAGGAUGGGCCUGUGGGGGUCUAUGUGGCAGCCGGGAGCUGGGCCCUGGGCUGCCAAUGUGUUGGCUGGGCGCUGCCAGCACAAACUCGGACCAAGCCCCUCUCCCAGCCUGAUGAUCCAGAGGUGACACCAGAGACGUGGCCUGCCUCUCAGAUCAUCACGUGGUUCCUCACGUCCAGGGCUCCCAGCCUGGUCUUGUCUUCGGAGCCUGGGUGACUCAGGCCACAGGGACACGGGAGCAGCCUUCGGUGGGUUUCUGGAACCCUGGACAAUUCUCCCAAGACCCUGUUCUUCCAAACUCCUGGGAUGGAGCCUCUUGUGGAUGGAUAACGGGCCCUCCUGGUCCAUGGUCAGCGAAAUCAGGACCUGGCUGGGGAGGCCAGCUCCGGGGUGUGAGGGCGGCCAGCAGCUCGCUGUCCCCUCCUGGGCCUUGAGGUCACUUCCUGGCCUUGUGCAGCCUUGGUCCCUCCUUGAAUCUCUGCUGAUGAUCAGACAGAGGCCCCGACCACACCCUCCCUGAAGCCGGGUCCCAAAGAUGCUAUGGAUGGGGGCAGGAACCUGGGACAGAGCUGCCAGCGGGAAGGAGGGGGGGAGCGCAGACCAGCUCAGCGGGCGCUGUCGCUGGAGUCUAUCUUAUGCCACUUGCUUGCUGAAGGGUGAUUCUCAUUUGGGGGGUGCUUUUUGGAUGGGGAUUUUCCUGCUUCUUUCUGAUGGUCGCUGGGAGGAGGCAGUCGGUCUGGGAGGAGCCUGGGUUUUUCCCCAUGCUGUUGGGCUCUGGGAGGGGCAACUGUGUGUAUGUGUGGGGGGGGCUAUGGGUGUGCCAUCCUGAAAGGGGACAGUUUGUUUCCAAGAGAGGGGGAGACCCAGGCCAGGGGAUUCACCAGAAGGAGACAGACACUGGCUUGUUCCCACCAUCCAAAGGGAGCGGGCUGGGUCUCAGACCCCUGCUUCUUGCUGUAAGGAUCUUCGAUUUUACAGCUGGGGGGCAAAGGCAGGCAGGGCAGGCCCCACACACGUGCAGUUCCCCCUUCACACCGGUUUGCUUCCAGCCACCUCUCCUUUCUUCAUCCAGCCCCUUCCAGAAGGGCUGGUCCCAGUGUUUGCCCUGGACCAGCCGUGGUACGUCCUUAGGCAAGUUCAAAACUAGAUGUUUUCCCA
Non-coding RNA from Miniopterus natalensis, 2671 nucleotides. The record is from RefSeq and is a predicted model, not a curated record. NCBI's taxonomy places the organism in Eukaryota, Metazoa, Chordata, Mammalia, Chiroptera, Miniopteridae.